AUCUAAGCCGACCCCUAUUAAAGAGGUGAAGAGGCCGGCUAGGGUUAGGAGGUUGUUUCUUAGAGAAGAAUUAGGAGUUGUAAAGGAAUAGGAGUCUUGAGUUGAAGUCCUAUUAGGAGAUGGUUAGAAGUAGGAGUCCUAUUAGGAGUUAGGGUUUAGAAACCCUAUAACUAGCCAUGUAUUCCUCCUCUUUUGAUAAACAAUAGAUGAAUCUUUUCUGCACCCUUUGAGCAGCAACUUAGAGGGAGGAACCCCUAUAGAGUUCCAAGGAGGCCGAUCCCCAAAAGAGAUCAACCCCAAGAUUAGAAUCUGCACGGGUUCUAACAAUCGGCCAAUGGGCUCCUUAUCUGACCAGUCUUGAAACACGGACCAAGGAGUCUGACAUGCGUGCGAUUCGACGGGUGCGGAAACCCGGAAGGCACAAGGAAGCUAACGGGCGGGAACCCUCUUGAGGGGUUGCACCGCCGGCCGACCCCGAUCUUCUUUGAAGGGUUCGAGUAGGACCAUGCAUGUCGGGACCCGAAAGAUGGUGAACUAUGCCUGAGCGAGGCAAAGCCAGAGGAAACUCUGGUGGAGGCCCGAAGCGAUACUGACGUGCAAAUCGUUUGUCUGACUUGGGUAUAGGGGCGAAAGACUAAUCGAACCAUCUAGUAGCUAGUUCCCUCCGAAGUUUCCCUCAGGAUAGUUGGAGCCCACGUGCGAGUUCUAUCAAGUAAAGCCAAUGAUUAGAGGCAUCGGGGGCGCAACGCCCUCGACCUAUUCUCAAACAUUAAAUAGGUAGGAAGGCACGGCUGCUUCGUUGAGCUAUGUCCCGGAAUCGAGAGCUCCAAGGGGGCCAUUUUUGUUAAGCAGAAUGGGCGAUGUGGGAUGAACCGGAAGCCGGGUUACGGUGCCCAACUACGCGCUAACCCAGACACCACAAAGGGUGUUGAUCGAUUAAGACAACAGGACGGUGGUCAUGGAAGUCCAAAUCCGCUAAGGAGUGUGUAACAACUCUCCUGCUGAAUCAACAAGCAUCGAAAACGGAUGGCGCUGAAGCGCGCGACCCACACCCAGCCAUCGGGGCGAGUGCCAAGCCCCGAUGAGUAGGAGGGUGUGGCGGUCGCCGCAAAACCCAGGGCGCAAGCCCAGGCGGAGCGACCGUCGGUGCAAAUCUUGGUAGUAGUAGCAAAUAUUCAAAUGAGAACUUUGAAGGCCGAAGAGGGGAACGGUUCCAUGUGAACGACAUUUGCAUAUGGGUUAGCCGAUCCUAAGGGACGGGAGAAGCCCGUCCGAGAGCUUGUCUCCGUGUGAGCUCCGAAAGGGAAUCAGGUUAAAAUUCCCGGGCCGGGACGCUGCGGCGGACGGCAACGUUAGGAAGUCCGGAGACGUCGGCGGGGGCCCCGGGAAGAGUUAUCUUUUCUUCUUAAUGGCCAGCCCACCCUGGAAAUAGCUUAGUCGGAGGUAGGGUCCAACGGUCGGAAGAGCGCCACACGUCGUGCGGCGUCCGGUGCGGCCCCGGCAGACCUUGAAAAUCCGGAGGAUCGAGUGCCGUCCGCACCCGAUCACACUCAUAACCGCAUCAGGUCUCCAAGGUGAAUAGCCUCUAGCCCAUGGAACAAUGUAGGUAAGGGAAGACGGCAAAACAGAUCCGUAACUUGGGGAAAAGGAUUGGCUCUGAGGGCUGGGCACGGGGGUCCCGGCCCCGAACCUGUCGGCUGUCGACAGACUGCUCGAGCUACUCUCGCAGCGAGAGCGGGUCGCUGCGUGCCGGCCAGGGGACGGACUGAGAACGGCCCCCUCGGGGGCCUUCCCUGGGCAUCGAACAGCCGACUCAGAAUGGGUUCGUACAAGGGGAAUCCGACUAUUUAAUUAAAACAAAGCAUUGCGAUGGUCCCCGCGGAUGCUCACGCAAUGUGAUUUCUGCCCAGUGCUCUGAAUGUCAAAGUGAAGAAAUUCAACCAAGCAUGGGUAAACGGCGGGAGUAACUAUGACUCUCUUAAGGUAGCCAAUUGACUCAUCAUCUAAUUAGUGACGCGCAGGAUUAACGAGAUUUCCACUAUCCCUAUCUACUAUCCAGUGAAACCAUAGCCAAGGGAACGGGCUUGGCAGAAUCAGCAGGGAAAGAAGACCCUGUUGAGCUUGACUCUAGUCUGACUUUGUGAAAUGACUUGAGAGGUGUUGGAUAAGUGGGAGCUGGUUCGCCGGCGGAAGUGAAAUACCACUACUUUUAACGUUAUUUUACUUAUUCCGUGAGUCGGAGGCGGGGCCCGGCCCCUCCUUUUGGACCCAAGGCCUGCCUAGCGGGCUGCUCCGAGCGGAAGAUAUUGUCAGGUAGGGAGUUUGUCUGGGGCGGCACAUCUGUUAAAAGAUAACGCAGGUGUCCUAAGAUGAGCUCAACGAGAACAUAAAUAUUGUGUGGAACAAAUGGGUAAAAGCUCGUUUGAUUGUGAUUUCCAGUACGAAUAUGAACCAUGAAAGCGUGGCCUAUUGAUCCGUGAGACCCUCGGAAUUCGAAGCUAGAGGUGUCAUAAAAGUUACCACAGGGAUAAAUGGCUUGUGGCAGCUAAGCGUUCAUAGCGAAGUUGCUUUUUGAUCCUUCGAUGUCGGCUCUUCCUAUCAUUGUGAAGCAGAAUUCACCAAGUGUUGGAUUGUUCACCCACCAAUAGGGAACGUGAGCUGGGUUUAGAGCAUCGUGAGAUAGGUUAACUUUACCCUACUGAUGAUCGUGCCGCGAUAGUAAUUCAACCUAGUACGAGAGGAACCAUUGAUUCACACAAUUGGUCAUCGCGCUUGGUUCAAAAGCCAGUGGCGCGAAGCUACCGUGUGUCAGAUUAUGACUGAAUGCCUCUAAGUCAGAAUCCUAGCAAGCAACCAGCGCUCUCGCCCAUCGUUCGCCUCCCGACCGACAAUAGGGGCCUUUGGCCCCCAUGCGCUCAUGUCGCUGGUGUAGCCCCCGUGGUGGUAUAGCCAUUGGUGGCCAUCAGGAAGUGAAAUUCUGCACGGACGAUGGGUCGAAUCCUUUGCA
RNAcentral lists this ribosomal RNA (3007 nucleotides) under Musa schizocarpa. Its description in RNAcentral is "eukaryotic LSU rRNA". It matches the Rfam family "Eukaryotic large subunit ribosomal RNA", at positions 463 to 3309 of the family's 3401-position model. Lineage: Eukaryota; Viridiplantae; Streptophyta; Magnoliopsida; Zingiberales; Musaceae. The record is from RNAcentral.